Molecule: ribosomal RNA, 531 nt
Filed under: Triticum aestivum (bread wheat)
Lineage: Eukaryota; Viridiplantae; Streptophyta; Magnoliopsida; Poales; Poaceae
Description: partial small subunit ribosomal RNA
Source: RNAcentral
AUGGCCGACGCUAAAUCCCAAGGCCGAGCAGCGACUACCGCUCUCAGUUCCACUCCCACUCCCACAUGGGCGGAACGGACCGAGGCCCUAACGCACAUCCUGACCCACCCCUCCCACUCGCCGUCGCUCCACUCGCAGCUCUUCCUCGCGUCCCGCGUCCCGUGCCCACCUCGGGGCUCCUCCUACCCGCCCUUCCUCUGCCCCGGCGCGUCGCUCCUGCGGUGGGCACUCACCUCCGUCUUCCUGCCCCGCGCGGCCCGCCUUGGCCUGCCGCCUUCGUCCUGGCGCUCCCGGUGCCCCUUUCAGCUCCCGCCGCCGCUCGUGCCCUCCGCCGGCAUCGAGACGGCACCGGAGCGGUGGAGCGAGGCCGAGCUCCGGGGGUACGCGCAGCGGCGGCGGGCUCGGAGGGGGCCCAUGAGGACGCGGCCGCCGGUGUCCAUGGCGGGGGUGGUGCUGACGACCGUGCCCAACAUCGUGAUCAUCGUGGUCAUCAUGCGGGAGCUCUUCUGGGUCCGGCCUGGCCGUUUCUGA